GAUGAACGCUGACAGAAUGCUUAACACAUGCAAGUCAACUUGAACUUCGGUUUGGGUUGCGUACGGGUGAGUAACGCGUACAGAACUUGCCUCACAGAUAGGGACACCAUUUGGAAACGAAUGCUAAUACCUGAUAUUAUGAUUAUAUGGCAUCUUAUACUUAUGAAAGCUAUAUGCGCUGUGAGAGAGCUUUGCGUCCAAUUAGCUAGUUGGAGAGGUAACGGCUCACCAAGGCGAUGAUGGGUAGCCGGCCUGAGAGGGUGAUAGGCCACAAGGGGACUGAGACAGGGCCCGUAGGCAAACUGGAGGCAGCAGCGGAGAAUAUAGGACAAUAGACCAAGAGUGUGAUCCAGGAAUUCUGUGUGCACGAUGAAGUUUUUCGGAAAGAAAAGUGCUUUCAGUUGAGAAGAAAAAAAUGACGGUACCAACAGAAGAAGUGACGGCUAAAUACGUG
This 454-nucleotide ribosomal RNA is filed under the name uncultured bacterium. Its description in RNAcentral is "partial 16S ribosomal RNA". It matches the Rfam family "Bacterial small subunit ribosomal RNA", at positions 28 to 507 of the family's 1533-position model. The record is from RNAcentral.